CCACACCGUAAACGAUGGAUACUAGGUGUAGGGUGUGAUAAACAUUCUGUGCCGUCGCAAACGCAGUAAGUAUCCCACCUGGGGAGUACGGCCGCAAGGUUGAAACUCAAAGGAAUUGACGGGGGCCCGCACAAGCAGUGGAGUAUGUGGUUUAAUUCGACGCAACGCGAAGAACCUUACCAGGGCUUGACAUAUACAGGAAUACUUAAGAGAUUAAGUAGCUCUUCGGAGUCUGUAUACAGGUGGUGCAUGGUUGU
Molecule: ribosomal RNA, 257 nt
Filed under: uncultured bacterium
Lineage: Bacteria
Description: partial 16S ribosomal RNA
Rfam family: Bacterial small subunit ribosomal RNA
Source: RNAcentral